AAAAGACCAUGUAAAAGAACACAAUAUCAAAACUACAGCAAACCCCUAUCAGCAUACUCAUUACAACACUUCAGAAACAACUGUAUCUAACUUACCAAAUUCACUCCCCAACAAACUCUCCUCCCACAGAACUUAAACUAAACUCGAUUUGUGAUAUAUAGGAUACUUAUAGAAUAAAUUUUAUUAAUUUAUAUAAAUAUUUAGUCUUUUAAUUAAU
This 217-nucleotide unclassified non-coding RNA is filed under the name Hevea brasiliensis (rubber tree). The record is from RNAcentral. Lineage: Eukaryota; Viridiplantae; Streptophyta; Magnoliopsida; Malpighiales; Euphorbiaceae.